AGAACGAACGCUGGCGGCAUGCCUAAUACAUGCAAGUCGAACGAACACUUCGGUGUUAGUGGCGCACGGGUGCGUAACGCGUGGGAAUCUGCCCUUGGGUUCGGAAUAACAGUUGGAAACGACUGCUAAUACCGGAUGAUAUCGAAAGAUCAAAGAUUUAUCGCCCAGGGAUGAGCCCGCGUAGGAUUAGCUAGUUGGUGAGGUAAAGGCUCACCAAGGCGACGAUCCUUAGCUGGUCUGAGAGGAUGAUCAGCCACACUGGGACUGAGACACGGCCCAGACUCCUACGGGAGGCAGCAGUAGGGAAUCUUGCGCAAUGGGCGAAAGCCUGACGCAGCCAUGCCGCGUGAAUGAUGAAGGUCUUAGGAUUGUAAAAUUCUUUACACCGGGAAGAUAAUGACGGUACCCGGAGAAGAAGCCCGGCUAACUUCGUGCCAGCAGCCGC
RNAcentral lists this ribosomal RNA (445 nucleotides) under uncultured soil bacterium. RNAcentral describes it as "bacterial SSU rRNA". It matches the Rfam family "Bacterial small subunit ribosomal RNA", at positions 26 to 518 of the family's 1533-position model. The record is from RNAcentral.